GUCACUUGAAGUCAAUUAUAUUGCUAUUUUCUUACAUGAAAUUCAUCGAUCUAUUGUGGCAGAGAACUCUCACAGAAUAAAGUGUAUUCUGUUAUGGUUAUGUGUAGUGUGGAGCAGUAUGUGAUUAGCUGCAGAUCAGAAUUCUACUCCUAGAUCCGUUUUGUUACCCUAUUUUUGUAAUAUUACCUGCUACUAACAAAUGUUGCUUGGCUGUGCUAAUUUUAGAAAAUCAGUUGUUCUGACUUCUGAGGGUCUUCCAUAAAUAUCAAUACUGGUUAAAAAUUAGCAACCAAGAAAGAACAUUCAGGGUGCAACUAUGCUGAUACAAUCCACAUGUCUUGGGAACAUUAAUUUCCUUUGUGUAUAUUUGCUCAAAUGGUAACUGUUG
Lolium rigidum is the source of this 388-nucleotide long non-coding RNA. RefSeq lists it as uncharacterized. Lineage: Eukaryota; Viridiplantae; Streptophyta; Magnoliopsida; Poales; Poaceae. The record is from RefSeq and is a predicted model, not a curated record. The transcript is spliced from 2 exons.